CCUACGGGCGGCAGCAGUGAGGAAUAUUGGUCAAUGGACGAGAGUCUGAACCAGCCAAGUAGCGUGAAGGAUGACUGCCCUAUGGGUUGUAAACUUCUUUUAUAAAGGAAUAAAACGAGGCACGUGUGCCUUUUUGCAUGUACUUUAUGAAUAAGGAUCGGCUAACUCCGUGCCAGCAGCCGCGGUAAUACGGAGGAUCCGAGCGUUACCCGGAUUUAUUGGGUUUAAAGGGAGCGUAGAUGGGUUUUUAAGUCAGUUGUGAAAGUUUGCGGCUCAACCGUAAGAGUGCAAUUGAAACUGGCAGUCUGGAGUACAGUUGAGGUAGGCGGAAUUCGUGGUGUAGCGGUGAAAUGCUUAGAUAUCACGAAGAACCCCGAUUGCGAAGGCAGCUUACUAAACUGUGACUGACAUUGAUGCUCGAAAGUGUGGGUAUCAAACAGGAUUAGAUACCCCAGUAGUC
This 460-nucleotide ribosomal RNA is filed under the name uncultured bacterium. RNAcentral's name for it is "partial 16S ribosomal RNA". It matches the Rfam family "Bacterial small subunit ribosomal RNA", at positions 338 to 795 of the family's 1533-position model. The record is from RNAcentral.